GAUGAACGCUGGCGGCGUGCCUAAUACAUGCAAGUCGAGCGAACGGACGAGAAGCUUGCUUCUCUGAUGUUAGCGGCGGACGGGUGAGUAACACGUGGAUAACCUACCUAUAAGACUGGGAUAACUUCGGGAAACCGUAGCUAAUACCGGAUAAUAUUUUGAACCGCAUGGUUCAAAAGUGAAAGACGGUCUUGCUGUCACUUAUAGAUGGAUCCGCGCUGCAUUAGCUAGUUGGUAAGGUAACGGCUUACCAAGGCAACGAUGCAUAGCCGACCUGAGAGGGUGAUCGGCCACACGGGAGCUGAGACACGGUCCAGACUCCUACGGGAGGCAGCAGUAGGGAAUCGUCCGCAAUGGGCGAGAGCCUGACGGAGCAACGCCGCGUGAGUGAUGAAGGUCUUCGGAUCGUAAAACUCUGUUAUUAGGGAAGAACAUAUGUGUAAGUAACUGUGCACAUCUUGACGGUACCUAAUCAGAAAGCCACGGCUAACUACGUG
RNAcentral lists this ribosomal RNA (497 nucleotides) under uncultured bacterium. RNAcentral's name for it is "partial 16S ribosomal RNA". It matches the Rfam family "Bacterial small subunit ribosomal RNA", at positions 28 to 507 of the family's 1533-position model. The record is from RNAcentral.